GCCGAGGUCGCUUAGCCCGGUAUAGCGCGGGCCUGGAAAGCCCGUGGGAGCAAUCCCUCGCGA
This 63-nucleotide transfer RNA is filed under the name Marine Group III euryarchaeote. Its description in RNAcentral is "tRNA-Ser". The record is from RNAcentral. Lineage: Archaea; Methanobacteriati; Thermoplasmatota; Thermoplasmata; Candidatus Thermoprofundales.